GAUGAACGCUAGCUACAGGCUUAACACAUGCAAGUCGAGGGGAAACGGCAUUGAGUGCUUGCACUCUUUGGACGUCGACCGGCGCACGGGUGAGUAACGCGUAUCCAACCUUCCCAUUCCUGUGGGAUAACCUGCCGAAAGGCAGACUAAUACCGCAUAGUCUUCGAUGACGGCAUCAGCUUUGAAGUAAAGCUUUAUCGGUAAUGGAUGGGGAUGCGUCUGAUUAGCUUGUUGGCGGGGUAACGGCCAACCAAGGCGACGAUCAGUAGGGGUUCUGAGAGGAAGGUCCCCCACAUUGGAGCUGAGACACGGUCCAAACACCUACGGGAGGCAGCAGUGAGGAAUAUUGGUCAAGGGACGGAAGUCUGAACCAGCCAAGUAGCGUGCAGGAAGACGGCCCUAUGGGUUGUAAACUGCUUUUGUAUGGGGAUAAAGUUAGGGACGUGUCCCUAUUUGCAGGUACCAUACGAAUAAGGACCGGCUAAUUCCGUG
Molecule: ribosomal RNA, 492 nt
Filed under: uncultured bacterium
Lineage: Bacteria
Description: partial 16S ribosomal RNA
Rfam family: Bacterial small subunit ribosomal RNA
Source: RNAcentral